RNAcentral lists this ribosomal RNA (819 nucleotides) under uncultured bacterium. Its description in RNAcentral is "bacterial SSU rRNA". It matches the Rfam family "Bacterial small subunit ribosomal RNA", at positions 612 to 1431 of the family's 1533-position model. The record is from RNAcentral.
ANCCAAUGUAUGCUUUGGAAACUGUUAGACUUGAGUGCAGAAGGGGAGAGUGGAAUUCCAUGUGUAGCGGUGAAAUGCGUAGAUAUAUGGAGGAACACCGGUGGCGAAAGCGGCUCUCUGNUCUGUCACUGACGCUGAGGCUCGAAAGCGUGGGUAGCGAACAGGAUUAGAUACCCUGGUAGUCCACGCCGUAAACGCUGAGUGCUAGGUGUUAGGUCCUUUCCGGGACUUAGUGCCGACGCUAACGCAUUAAGCACUCCGCCUGGGGAGUACGACCGCAAGGUUGAAACCCAAAGGAAUUGACGGGGGCCCGCACAAGCGGUGGAGCAUGUGGUUUAAUUCGAAGCAACGCGAAGAACCUUACCAGGUCUUGACAUCCCGAUGCCCGCUCUAGAGAUAGAGUUUUUCUUCGGAACAUCGGAGACAGGUGGUGCAUGGUUGUCGUCAGCUCGUGUCGUGAGAUGUUGGGUUAAGUCCCGCAACGAGCGCAACCCUUAUUGUUAGUUGCCAUCAUUAAGUUGGGCACUCUAGCGAGACUGCCGGUAAUAAACCGGAGGAAGGUGGGGAUGACGUCAAAUCAUCAUGCCCCUUAUGACCUGGGCUACACACGUGCUACAAUGGUUGGUACAACGAGUCGCAAGCCGGUGACGGCAAGCUAAUCUCUGAAAGCCAAUCUCAGUUCGGAUUGUAGGCUGCAACUCGCCUACAUGAAGUCGGAAUCGCUAGUAAUCGCGGAUCAGCACGCCGCGGUGAAUACGUUCCCGGGCCUUGUACACACCGCCCGUCACACCACGAGAGUUUGUAACACCCAAAGUCGGU